RNAcentral lists this long non-coding RNA (5215 nucleotides) under Homo sapiens (human). Its description in RNAcentral is "HSALNT0328459". Lineage: Eukaryota; Metazoa; Chordata; Mammalia; Primates; Hominidae. The record is from RNAcentral.
UUAAAAUAUUUUACUAGAUUGUAUUUAUGGUUAACAGUAUCUUGCACUACAAUUUAUAUUUAGAUAAUCAUUCAUUUUAAAAUUAUUUAUUGAGCACCUACUAUGUGUUAGGUAUUAGGUACAGAGCAAUGAAUACAGCAAGCACAGUUCCUCACCUCGUGGACCUGACACUGUAGUGUGAGAGAUAAUAAGCAAAUGAUAUAAGGCCAUGCAGUAGUUAAAUGCUAUGAAGAAACAUAAAAUCUGGUACAGGGACAGAGAGUAGGGAGGGAGCUCUUGUUAUAAAGGGUGGCCAGGAAAGACCAAGUUGUGUAGCAGAGGCCUGAAGGAAGCCAGGGACCAAGCCAUAUGAAUUUUCUCAGAUAGGUGUAUUCUAGUUAUAGAGAACAGCAACUGGAACGGUCCUGAGAAGGGAACAUUCCUGGAACAUUCAAGAACUAGCCAAGAGAUCAGCAAGUCUAUAGUAAAAAGAAACAUAGUAGAUAGUCAUCUAGUGUUUUCUUCUCUUCCUUCCUAUUAUCUCUCAUACCAUGUCAUGUUACUUUUCUAAAGGAUCUCAAUGGGGAAGAGAACAUCAUUGUCUUUAAGAUUCAAUUUUUUGUGUAUUGAAAGUCUUCAUGGUCAUUCUUUUGAGAUCAUGACCUACUACAACGUCCCCAGGCCUGCAUCCUCCACAGGCUCCAUGAGCAGAAAAGCAGACGAAUAGAAGAGCAGAGGAACAGAAGAAUAGCAGUGUGGCCGAGCAGCGUGGUAGAGAAAGAGGGAAGAGAAGCAGCAUCUGAAUGUUGAGAGGAGUUUGGCUGGGGACAGUCGGAGAGGAGAUUGGCCGCAGGACGACCCAACUCCAGGGGAGGAACAUCUUCCUACUCCAUUCGCUUCCCCACUCCCCAGCCAUUCCACUGAGAGCCACCUCCAUCUGGCAAUAAAAUCUCUUGCAUUCACUAUCCUUCAAUUUGCCUGUGUGACCUGAUUCUUCCUGGAUGCUGGACAAGAACCCAGCAUCCAGGUACCAAGAGGGCACUGGGCUGGAUAACACUUGAGCUGUCUGUGGACGGCAGAGCUAAAAGAGCACUGUAACAUGCCCACUGGGGCUUUGGGAGUUGCAGGCACCCACCCUGGAUGCUACUACCAUGGGGCUGGAGCCCAAAAGUGUUUGCCCCGCCUCCUGCACCUGCCCGUCUGCAUGCUCCCCCUCCAGUAAGGGGUUUGAGUGCACAGAGGCUGAACAGAUGAGCCACACCCCUGUCACACAUCCUGUGAAGGGGGUUAGGAAACUCUCCCAUUUCAUCUUGACCAUCUUUGAGGGACUAUUGAUGCUUUUGGUAUCAGCAGCCACAGAAUUCAUCAGACACAGCACAAAAGAGCAGGAGAAGAGAUAAUGGCAGAUGCCAGAAGGUUGUCCAGCUGGUUACUACCUCUCCUCUUCACCUGAUUAUACCUGAUUACUGCUGACUCGAUGGGCAGGGAGAGUCGCUGACUCCUGACAGAAAGACUCUGUCACCCCUUGCCAUUUAUUUUAGAUCCUGUGAAUCCUACUGUCAAUGUUGUGACACCUGCAAUGCCUGGGAUGAAGCUGCCCAUGUGGUGAGAUGCAGCCUGUGGAAGCCUCUUUUCAGUGGAGUGAGAGCCAAGCCCCCUUGGCUUUUCAUAGACAAUUGGUGAACGGGACAAGGAGACACUGUCCUUGGAUGUCUGAAAAAAAAAGAAAAAGGUUGCAAAACAUGUUGCCAAUAAGAAUGUUGUAGAUGAAAGGCAGGAUGAAGGAAAGUGGUCUUAAUUUAAAUUCUCUAUUUUACUAAACCUACUCUUUAACAAAUAUGUUUAUGUGAGGCAUCAGAAGCAAAUGUAUUUUGGCUUUUAAGAGAAUUAAAAUUGUUUCCCCUAUUUUUUUAUUUGUUUGCUUUGGUGGCUUUGUGACCAAAAAAAUUGUUUUAAUCCAAAUAGCCACAAUAAAUAAAUAAGCAAAUGAAUAAAAUUCCCAGGUCAUUUGAGAGAAAAGAUUAACUGAAAAGGUAAAGCAUCUCCCCCUUUUUAGUUUCAGUUAAUUAUAGUGUCAGGAUGACUUUUUAACUUACCUGGCAAUCUGGAACCUCAUAGAGUCACUUGCGUUUUCAAAAUUUCCAUGUGAAAACAUGAUUGUGCCAAGUACUCCCUAUUAACUUUUAGACAUCAUCUAUAAAAUCACUACAGGAAAAUAUGGAAAUAUCUGAGAGAUACACAGUGGAUCGCCUCAGAAUAAAUCGUUCCCCAAAUCAUUUUAUGACUGCCUGAGUCGGGACUCAUGGGUCAGAGUAGAGUCAUAGUUAAGGUUUGCAACUGGCUUAGUAGCAAGAGGGGAUAAACAAACUAUCCAGGCUGUUGAACUGUCCAGUUUCGCUACAACUGUAUUUACUUGUUGGGAUCAACUGUUUUCUUUCCUAUUAAGGUAUUAGUAGCCACUGAUAAUGGAAGCCAGGGCCCGCUAGAAAUAGACCAGAGGAAAUUUCCUGACUCACUUGCAUAACAACAGUUCAUCAGCACUGAAGAUAUAUGAAGUGUGACUGCAGAGUAAUGGGAGUGAUUAGGUUUCUCUGCACAACAAAACUCUUACAUACAAAUGAGCACUGUCCCCUUCAGGACAGUCCUCAGGGAACCCGUAUGCUUAUUCCGGUGUGUGAUUGGUCUGGAAGCAUUUUUGGAUGCCCUCUGGACAGAAAGUGCUUUUGGACACUGUUAGUGGUGACAAAGUGUGUCCUUUGAGGAUGGAUUAGAUUGUUGGAAAUGAUACAAUGUAUUCACAGUAUACAUCUGUUGUUUUUGUCUACCCAGAAGCCUCUGUCCAAACUUGUGGUUGGAGAGGCUGUAUUUCUUCUGUCGUUCAUUCUGUCUUUGAAGGCUCUCGAGGAGAAAAUAGCUUUUAAUAUCUCUUGGGAAAUGGCCACAUUUUCCCCUGGCAAUUGAACCCAUGGCUUUCUUGAAUGACUACUCCUCAACCAGGUCUAAGUUGUUUAGGUAGGCUGACUUGACCACCAGUUCCAGAGCACAGACAUGUGACGAGCCUGGCCAUAGUCAUUGAUUCAGGGAUGGACACAUGACUGAAACGGCAUGCUGGCAUUUAGUUCUGGUACUUGGAUUUUAACUGUUGGGAGGAGAAUUUCUCACUCUGCUAUGAUAUAAGCAUGAAGCUACUGGCUUCCACUUGCUGCUACAAAGAGCCUGCUUAAAAAUGGAGCCAACAUAAAAGGAAGCAGAUUUAAGACCUGAGCGAUGAGAGCGUGCACAUGUGUGUAUAUCCACAUAAUGAGACUAAGUCUUGAUUUCUGCACCUUGAUCCAGAUAUACCUGGAGCAGAAACUCUGCUGGGACUCUUUUGUAUCAUGAGCCAGUAACCUCCCUAUUUGCCUAGUAGGUUGAUUUGGGCUUCAAUCUUGCAACCAAGUGAGUCCUGACUAAACCAGCAGAAUGGAGCCAGGUAAGGUUCUUUCUCAAGAAGAGAAGAAGGAAGGUAUCAAGACGUUUAUGACAAAUUUCUACUCAACACUGAGCACCUGCUAAGUGCUGGGCCUAAUAGUCGAGAUGCUGCAAUGAACUAGUCCAUUCAGGAUGCUGAGGUGUUUCAGCCUAGAAGAGACUGCUUUUCUUCCUUUGCUCAUGCAGACUCAGGGGGCCAUUCUCAAGGAGGAGUUAGUGACAGGAAUGUCUUUGGCAAAGACAGCACUCUUGAGUGUGGUCAGAACAUGUUAUUUAUUUCCCAAGAUGAUUAGUUUUUGAAGAAGACAACAAAUAGUUGAGGCUAUGAAUUCUAUCUCUGUAAAAAUAGAGUUAUGUUUUCCUCCUGUAGUCAGAUCUCCUGUGGAACGUGAGUAAACAGGAAUUUCUAUGUAUGGAGCAAGGACAGUAUGGUUAGCACAUAAUACAUGUGUUUAUUUCAGAGCUGGGGAGGACUCCUGACCAGCGUGACACCUAACAUUGGAGUGAAGGGGCAGCAGCCACGUGAAACGAGAUCCAGUUUGGCAUUCUGUCUAAGUUCACUGCACAGAGACGGGUUUGGCUCUGUGAUUCAUCAGAAAUAAGAAAAACAAACACUGUAAAUGGAGAACUUGAAAAAGAGGUGGGCACCAUCUCCCCACCCAAGAGAAUGGAUUUAAGAGGAAAUUUGUUUAUGGGAUGAAGUUUUAAAAGGCGACCUGGAAAAUUUAGCAAAGAUGUAAAUAAACAACUCUUCCUUGGAUUGCAUUAGGCUUCAGAAUAAAUAUAUUAACCAGCUUCAGUCAAAGUCUGCCUAGAAUCUGACCCUGACAAGACCCAGUGACUAGUGCUGCUCCGAACCUUCCCCACCAACAGCAGGCAAUUUUCUCUGUGGCAAAGCUACCUCGAAACAGGCAUCCAGGCUUCCCUCCCACGAAGUGAAGAUGAGAAAACUGAGUCUCAGAAUGGACAAGCUCACAGAUGGCAAGUGGUAGAGCAGACUUCACACAUAGCCAUCUGAGUGAGAUGGGAAGCUGAUCCUCCAGCCCUGAUCAAGCCUUCAAAUGACUGCACCUCCAGCUGACAGAUUACCAAAAGCAACCUCCUUCCAGAAGACCUUGAGCCAAAACCACUCAGCUAAGCUACUUCCAGAUCCCUGAUCCUCGGAAACUGUGCGAGACAAUAAAUGUUUAAAUGGCCACCCACUUUGGAAUAAAGAGGACAUAUAAUUUGCCUAAGGUCACAUAGCACUCUCUAAAUCAGUACAGUAUUUUAGACAAAGCUUCAACUUUGCACUUUUAUGGGUCAUUUUGAUAUAAGACUACAAGGAUAUCUCCUCCCAUGACAAACUUGACUUCAUUUACAACAAAAGGCCAAGCAAGAUACAGUACACUGUGGGGAUAAAUGGUACUCACUGAGGACAGGAAUAUGCUGACAUUAUCUCAAUUUCCUCCUCCCUCCUGUUGUUCUCCUUUGGAUGCUUUCCUGGACUAUAGGGAGAAGGAAAAUAGAGAAAGGCCAACUGCGACUAGGCCAGAGAUCAGAUGUUACCUUGUAGGAAGCAUCUCAUUCUAACCUUAAGUACUCUCUUGAUGAAGUACGGGGCCAAGAGAUUUUGGAAUUCUACCACACAAGGUUGCUCAGCAUUCCAAGAAGUAUUGAUAACUCUUCAAGAGCAAAAGUCAUUUAAAUUAAACUUCUCUGGCCGGGCAUGGUAGCUCAUAUCUGUAAACCCAGCACUUUGGGAGGCUGAGGCUGGAAGAUCACU